This 2779-nucleotide ribosomal RNA is filed under the name Escherichia coli. Its description in RNAcentral is "bacterial LSU rRNA". It matches the Rfam family "Bacterial large subunit ribosomal RNA". The record is from RNAcentral. Lineage: Bacteria; Pseudomonadati; Pseudomonadota; Gammaproteobacteria; Enterobacterales; Enterobacteriaceae.
CACACUAUCAUUAACUGAAUCCAUAGGUUAAUGAGGCGAACCGGGGGAACUGAAACAUCUAAGUACCCCGAGGAAAAGAAAUCAACCGAGAUUCCCCCAGUAGCGGCGAGCGAACGGGGAGGAGCCCAGAGCCUGAAUCAGUGUGUGUGUUAGUGGAAGCGUCUGGAAAGGCGCGCGAUACAGGGUGACAGCCCCGUACACAAAAAUACACAUAUUGUGAGCUCGAUGAGUAGGGCGGGACACGUGGUAUCCUGUCUGAAUAUGGGGGGACCAUCCUCCAAGGCUAAAUACUCCUGACUGACCGAUAGUGAACCAGUACCGUGAGGGAAAGGCGAAAAGAACCCCGGCGAGGGGAGUGAAAAAGAACCUGAAACCGUGUACGUACAAGCAGUGGGAGCACGCUUAGGCGUGUGACUGCGUACCUUUUGUAUAAUGGGUCAGCGACUUAUAUUCUGUAGCAAGGUUAACCGAAUAGGGGAGCCGAAGGGAAACCGAGUCUUAACUGGGCGUUAAGUUGCAGGGUAUAGACCCGAAACCCGGUGAUCUAGCCAUGGGCAGGUUGAAGGUUGGGUAACACUAACUGGAGGACCGAACCGACUAAUGUUGAAAAAUUAGCGGAUGACUUGUGGCUGGGGGUGAAAGGCCAAUCAAACCGGGAGAUAGCUGGUUCUCCCCGAAAGCUAUUUAGGUAGCGCCUCGUGAAUUCAUCUCCGGGGGUAGAGCACUGUUUCGGCAAGGGGGUCAUCCCGACUUACCAACCCGAUGCAAACUGCGAAUACCGGAGAAUGUUAUCACGGGAGACACACGGCGGGUGCUAACGUCCGUCGUGAAGAGGGAAACAACCCAGACCGCCAGCUAAGGUCCCAAAGUCAUGGUUAAGUGGGAAACGAUGUGGGAAGGCCCAGACAGCCAGGAUGUUGGCUUAGAAGCAGCCAUCAUUUAAAGAAAGCGUAAUAGCUCACUGGUCGAGUCGGCCUGCGCGGAAGAUGUAACGGGGCUAAACCAUGCACCGAAGCUGCGGCAGCGACGCUUAUGCGUUGUUGGGUAGGGGAGCGUUCUGUAAGCCUGUGAAGGUGUGCUGUGAGGCAUGCUGGAGGUAUCAGAAGUGCGAAUGCUGACAUAAGUAACGAUAAAGCGGGUGAAAAGCCCGCUCGCCGGAAGACCAAGGGUUCCUGUCCAACGUUAAUCGGGGCAGGGUGAGUCGACCCCUAAGGCGAGGCCGAAAGGCGUAGUCGAUGGGAAACAGGUUAAUAUUCCUGUACUUGGUGUUACUGCGAAGGGGGGACGGAGAAGGCUAUGUUGGCCGGGCGACGGUUGUCCCGGUUUAAGCGUGUAGGCUGGUUUUCCAGGCAAAUCCGGAAAAUCAAGGCUGAGGCGUGAUGACGAGGCACUACGGUGCUGAAGCAACAAAUGCCCUGCUUCCAGGAAAAGCCUCUAAGCAUCAGGUAACAUCAAAUCGUACCCCAAACCGACACAGGUGGUCAGGUAGAGAAUACCAAGGCGCUUGAGAGAACUCGGGUGAAGGAACUAGGCAAAAUGGUGCCGUAACUUCGGGAGAAGGCACGCUGAUAUGUAGGUGAAGUCCCUCGCGGAUGGAGCUGAAAUCAGUCGAAGAUACCAGCUGGCUGCAACUGUUUAUUAAAAACACAGCACUGUGCAAACACGAAAGUGGACGUAUACGGUGUGACGCCUGCCCGGUGCCGGAAGGUUAAUUGAUGGGGUCAGCGCAAGCGAAGCUCUUGAUCGAAGCCCCGGUAAACGGCGGCCGUAACUAUAACGGUCCUAAGGUAGCGAAAUUCCUUGUCGGGUAAGUUCCGACCUGCACGAAUGGCGUAAUGAUGGCCAGGCUGUCUCCACCCGAGACUCAGUGAAAUUGAACUCGCUGUGAAGAUGCAGUGUACCCGCGGCAAGACGGAAAGACCCCGUGAACCUUUACUAUAGCUUGACACUGAACAUUGAGCCUUGAUGUGUAGGAUAGGUGGGAGGCUUGGAAGUGUGGACGCCAGUCUGCAUGGAGCCGACCUUGAAAUACCACCCUUUAAUGUUUGAUGUUCUAACGUUGACCCGUAAUCCGGGUUGCGGACAGUGUCUGGUGGGUAGUUUGACUGGGGCGGUCUCCUCCUAAAGAGUAACGGAGGAGCACGAAGGUUGGCUAAUCCUGGUCGGACAUCAGGAGGUUAGUGCAAUGGCAUAAGCCAGCUUGACUGCGAGCGUGACGGCGCGAGCAGGUGCGAAAGCAGGUCAUAGUGAUCCGGUGGUUCUGAAUGGAAGGGCCAUCGCUCAACGGAUAAAAGGUACUCCGGGGAUAACAGGCUGAUACCGCCCAAGAGUUCAUAUCGACGGCGGUGUUUGGCACCUCGAUGUCGGCUCAUCACAUCCUGGGGCUGAAGUAGGUCCCAAGGGUAUGGCUGUUCGCCAUUUAAAGUGGUACGCGAGCUGGGUUUAGAACGUCGUGAGACAGUUCGGUCCCUAUCUGCCGUGGGCGCUGGAGAACUGAGGGGGGCUGCUCCUAGUACGAGAGGACCGGAGUGGACGCAUCACUGGUGUUCGGGUUGUCAUGCCAAUGGCACUGCCCGGUAGCUAAAUGCGGAAGAGAUAAGUGCUGAAAGCAUCUAAGCACGAAACUUGCCCCGAGAUGAGUUCUCCCUGACCCUUUAAGGGUCCUGAAGGAACGUUGAAGACGACGACGUUGAUAGGCCGGGUGUGUAAGCGCAGCGAUGCGUUGAGCUAACCGGUACUAAUGAACCGUGAGGCUUAACCUUACAACGCCGAAGCUGUU